GACGAACGCUGGCGGCGUGCCUAACACAUGCAAGUCGAACGGGGUGAGCCUCUUCGGAGACUUACUUAGUGGCGAACGGGUGAGUAACGCGUGAGAAACCUGCCUUUCAGUGGGGGACAACAGUUGGAAACGACUGCUAAUACCGCAUAACGUAUUUUAGGGGCAUCCCUUGAAUACCAAAGCUUUAUGUGCUGAAAGAUGGCCUCGCGUCUGAUUAGAUAGUUGGUGGGGUAACGGCCUACCAAGUCGACGAUCAGUAGCCGGUCUGAGAGGAUGAACGGCCACAUUGGGACUGAGACACGGCCCAAACUCCUACGGGAGGCAGCAGUGGGGAAUAUUGCACAAUGGGGGAAACCCUGAUGCAGCGACGCCGCGUGAGUGAAGACGGUUUUCGGAUUGUAAACUUCUUUUAAGAGGGACGAUAAUGACGGUACCUCUUGAAUAAGCCACGGCUAACUACGUG
RNAcentral lists this ribosomal RNA (463 nucleotides) under uncultured bacterium. RNAcentral's name for it is "bacterial SSU rRNA". It matches the Rfam family "Bacterial small subunit ribosomal RNA", at positions 28 to 507 of the family's 1533-position model. The record is from RNAcentral.